RNAcentral lists this long non-coding RNA (234 nucleotides) under Mytilus galloprovincialis (Mediterranean mussel). Lineage: Eukaryota; Metazoa; Mollusca; Bivalvia; Mytilida; Mytilidae. The record is from RNAcentral.
CAAACAAAUGAGACCUUGGACCCCGUAUUAAACCCAUGAGACGGAAACAUGCAUGCAUGCAAAUAUUGAUUAAUUGGUUGAUUGAUUUAAAGAUUGGUUGGUUGAUUGAUUGAUUGAUUGAAUGACAAUUUGGUUGGUUGGUUGGUUGGUGGAUUGAUCAAUUAAACACGUUGGAUAGGGUCAAUUAAAACAAGCAAAAAAACCACAAAUGAAACAUUAGACCCCGUAUUAAAC